CUCAGGAUGAACGCUGGCGGCGUGCUUAACACAUGCAAGUCGAACGAUGAAGCCCAGCUUGCUGGGUGGAUUAGUGGCGAACGGGUGAGUAACACGUGAGUAACCUGCCCCCGACUCUGGGAUAAGCCCGGGAAACUGGGUCUAAUACCGGAUAUUACCUCUUGCCGCAUGGCAGGUGGUGGAAAGAUUUAUCGGUGGGGGAUGGACUCGCGGCCUAUCAGCUUGUUGGUGAGGUAAUGGCUCACCAAGGCGACGACGGGUAGCCGGCCUGAGAGGGUGACCGGCCACACUGGGACUGAGACACGGCCCAGACUCCUACGGGAGGCAGCAGUGGGGAAUAUUGCACAAUGGGCGAAAGCCUGAUGCAGCGACGCCGCGUGAGGGAUGACGGCCUUCGGGUUGUAAACCUCUUUCAGUAGGGAAGAAGCGAAAGUGACGGUACCUGCAGAAGAAGCGCCGGCUAACUACGUGCCAGCAGCCGCGGUAAUACGUAGGGCGCAAGCGUUAUCCGGAUUUAUUGGGCGUAAAGAGCUCGUAGGCGGUUUGUCGCGUCUGCCGUGAAAGUCCGAGGCUCAACCUCGGAUCUGCGGUGGGUACGGGCAGACUAGAGUGA
Molecule: ribosomal RNA, 613 nt
Filed under: Glutamicibacter arilaitensis
Lineage: Bacteria; Bacillati; Actinomycetota; Actinomycetes; Micrococcales; Micrococcaceae
Description: bacterial SSU rRNA
Rfam family: Bacterial small subunit ribosomal RNA
Source: RNAcentral